GUCUACGGCCAUACCACCCUGAAUGCAUCGAUCUCGUCUAAUCUCAGAAGCUAAGGAGGGUCGGGCCUGGUUAGUACUUGGAUGGGAGAAUUAUGUCAGCCAUUGGGUUUUCAUAGAUG
This 119-nucleotide ribosomal RNA is filed under the name Octodon degus (degu). Lineage: Eukaryota; Metazoa; Chordata; Mammalia; Rodentia; Octodontidae. The record is from RNAcentral.